This 253-nucleotide ribosomal RNA is filed under the name uncultured bacterium. RNAcentral describes it as "partial 16S ribosomal RNA". It matches the Rfam family "Bacterial small subunit ribosomal RNA", at positions 81 to 334 of the family's 1533-position model. The record is from RNAcentral.
CAACUGGUGGGCGACCGGCGCACGGGUGAGUAACACGUGUGCAACCAACCCCGUACCGGGAGAUAACCCGCGGAAACGUGGGCUAACAUCCCAUAACACUGUAUCAUCGCAUGGUGAUGCAUUUAAAAUUCCGGUGGUACGGGACGGGCACGCGCGACAUUAGGUAGUUGGCGGGGUAACGGCCCACCAAGCCGACGAUGUCUAGGGGUUCUGAGAGGAAGGUCCCCCACACUGGAACUGAGACACGGUCCAG